RNAcentral lists this unclassified non-coding RNA (777 nucleotides) under Hevea brasiliensis (rubber tree). The record is from RNAcentral. Lineage: Eukaryota; Viridiplantae; Streptophyta; Magnoliopsida; Malpighiales; Euphorbiaceae.
GAAAAAGGUAAGAGAAAAUAUAUGCUCGCAGACCACGCAGCGAAGCAAUGGAGGUCGAAAGCUGACUCUUUAUCCUCCCUCUUUUCAAAAAGAAAGCAACGAAAUGCACUCAAAAUUAGCAUAAUCACUAUGCGCAUAAAGCGACGUCGUUUCACUUCAUCCUCUUCUUCUUUUUCUUCUUCUCUCUUUGUAGCUCUUGCUCUUUUCUGCAAUCCAAACUGGUUCGAUCCUCUUUCUCAAUUUACGUGUUCUUUGGUUCUUUCCAAUGGACCCUAGUUAACGUUUCAAUUCGUUAGGGCUUUUCAGUCUUGUAGUGAUCCAAAAGCUGAUUUAAUAUUACCUGGAUGUUUAAUUCUUGUUGAAUGAGUUGAAUUUUGGGGUUUUCUUUGAAUCUGUUCUUUGUGCUUAAGCUGAUAAUUUUUUGGAACUAAUGUUUUCUCACUGAGUAGUGUUUGAUAUUAAUCUGUUUGGUUGAUGUGAAAACUAAGAUAAGCGAGUGAUUAUCCUAUAUAAUUUUCUCAGUGACCAAAUAUAGGGUUAGUUCUUGUGUGAUGGGUAACUGAAUCUUUUGCCCUUCUAUACUUUUGAUUUCUCCUCUUGUAAGAUGGAUUUGAAAUUGUGUCUUUGUCGUCUUCUCAAUUUUUUUACCGACAAUUUCGGCAAUUUCCUCGUCAUUUCCGUCAAGGACGGGUAUUGGUGUCUUUUUUUUUUUUUUAAAUAAAUGCCUGAUGCCUCUUCAUGCUUGGUUAUAACAUUGCCUAUUCAAUAAAAUGAGAA